GCAGUCGAGGGGCAUCGGGGAGCGAAGCUUGCUUUGCUCCGCCGGCGACCGGCGCACGGGUGAGUAACGCGUAUGCAACCUGCCCGUUUCAGCGGGAUAACCCGGAGAAAUCCGGCCUAAUACCGCAUGUGGCCGAGGGAAGGCAUCUUCUUUCGGCCAAAGGAGGCGACUCCGGAGACGGAUGGGCAUGCGUGACAUUAGCUUGUUGGCGGGGUAACGGCCCACCAAGGCGACGAUGUCUAGGGGUUCUGAGAGGAAGGUCCCCCACACUGGUACUGAGACACGGACCAGACUCCUACGGGAGGCAGCAGUGAGGAAUAUUGGUCAAUGGGCGAGAGCCUGAACCAGCCAAGUCGCGUGAAGGAUGACGGCCCUACGGGUUGUAAACUUCUUUUGUCAGGGAGCAAUUGAGUCCACGUGUGGGCUUAGCGAGAGUACCUGAAGAAAAAGCAUCGGCUAACUCCGUGCCAGCAGCCGCGGUAAUACGGAGGAUGCGAGCGUUAUCCGGAUUUAUUGGGUUUAAAGGGUGCGUAGGCGGAAUAUCAAGUCAGCGGUAAAAAUUCGGGGCUCAACCCCGUCGUGCCGUUGAAACUGAUGUUCUUGAGUGGGCGAGAAGUAUGCGGAAUGCGUGGUGUAGCGGUGAAAUGCAUAGAUAUCACGCAGAACUCCGAUUGCGAAGGCAGCAUACCGGCGCCCAACUGACGCUGAAGCACGAAAGCGUGGGUAUCGAACAGGAUUAGAUACCCUGGUAGUCCACGCAGUAAACGAUGAAUGCUAUUGUCCGGAGGGAUUGACCUCUGGGUGAUACAGCGAAAGCGUUAAGC
This 824-nucleotide ribosomal RNA is filed under the name uncultured bacterium. RNAcentral's name for it is "bacterial SSU rRNA". It matches the Rfam family "Bacterial small subunit ribosomal RNA", at positions 57 to 865 of the family's 1533-position model. The record is from RNAcentral.